RNAcentral lists this ribosomal RNA (443 nucleotides) under uncultured bacterium. Its description in RNAcentral is "partial 16S ribosomal RNA". It matches the Rfam family "Bacterial small subunit ribosomal RNA", at positions 338 to 795 of the family's 1533-position model. The record is from RNAcentral.
CCUACGGGUGGCUGCAGUGGGGAAUAUUGGUCAAUGGGCGCAAGCCUGACCCAGCAACGCCGCGUGCAGGAAGAAGGCUUUCGGGUUGUAAACUUCUUUUCUCAGGGACGAAGCAAGUGACGUUACCUGAGGAAUAAGCCACGGCUAACUACGUGCCAGCAGCCGCGGUAAUACGGAGGUGGCAAGCGUUAUCCGGAUUUACGGGGUGUAAAGGGCGUGCAGGCGGGACUGCAAGUCAGAUGUGAAAACCAGGGGCUCAACCUAUGGCCUGCAUUUGAAACUGUAGUUCUUGAGUACUGGAGAGGCAGGCGGAAUUCCUAGUGUAGCGGUGAAAUGCGUAGAUAUUAGGAGGAACACCAGUGGCGAAGGCGGUCUGCUGGACCGUAACUGACGCUGAGGCGCGAAAGCGUGGGGAGCAAACAGGAUUAGAUACCCUUGUAGUC